This 253-nucleotide ribosomal RNA is filed under the name uncultured bacterium. RNAcentral describes it as "partial 16S ribosomal RNA". It matches the Rfam family "Bacterial small subunit ribosomal RNA", at positions 524 to 776 of the family's 1533-position model. The record is from RNAcentral.
UACGGAGGGUGCAAGCGUUGUCCGGAUUUAUUGGGUUUAAAGGGUGCGUAGGCGGUCUAUAAAGUCAGUGGUGAAAGUCUUCGGCUCAACCGGAGGAUUGCCAUUGAAACUCAUAGACUUGAGUACAGUAGAGGUAGGCGGAAUUUAUGAUGUAGCGGUGAAAUGCAUAGAUAUCAUAAAGAACACCGAUAGCGAAGGCAGCUUACUAUGCUGUUACAGACGCUGAGGCACGAAAGCGUGGGGAGCGAACAGG